UUGCUUAUUUCAGCAGCACAUAUACUAAGAAUGGGACAACACAGUGAAGAUUAGAAUGGUCUCUGUGUAAGAAUGACCAUGUAACUCAGUGAAGUAUCCCAUAUUUUC
Molecule: small nuclear RNA, 108 nt
Filed under: Carlito syrichta (Philippine tarsier)
Lineage: Eukaryota; Metazoa; Chordata; Mammalia; Primates; Tarsiidae
Source: RNAcentral